RNAcentral lists this long non-coding RNA (1958 nucleotides) under Xyrichtys novacula (pearly razorfish). Lineage: Eukaryota; Metazoa; Chordata; Actinopteri; Labriformes; Labridae. The record is from RNAcentral.
AAACAGAGGGGAGGAGUUUCAGGGCACAUUGGACCGACCUGAGAGUCACCUGAAUGGAUUUACAGGUGACUCACUGCUGAGCAUAUACAGUUUAAAGUGUUUAAAGUAAAUCAUGUAAAGUCCAGUCAGUAAUCAGCAUUAUAUCAUGAAUCAAUCAGACAUAAAGAAGCAGUGAUUUUAACUCUUCAGGAGAUUUAGUUUCUCUUGUUUGGGUAUAAAAUCGUCUUUAGCAGAUCGGCGCAGCAGCAGCAGCUUCAGAUCUGAGCGAGGGCAGAGAUCUGAUUUAAACGGAUCUGCGUCAUUUCAACAGCCUCAGAAAUGGAAAUGGAGUGUUUUUGUUUGUUGUGGUUCUGCGUCAGAUCUGCAUUCACUUUAUUCAGGCGUGACCGAGUGGAAAAAUACACAUCAAAUACCGUCUGAACUUUAAAGAGCUGUUUGCUUUAUCUCUGCGAUGAACUAACAGCCUCUGAAGAGCGGCGAGAUAAGAGAUGGACGCUUUUCUUCACACUGUCGGAUAUUUGAAAGAUUUAUCUUAACGGUUUGUCCGAGCUCAGGCGGAGAAUAGUGAUGAGAAAGUUUAGAUGGGAACGAACAAGCUCAACGAGAAGUCCAGAUUUUUGUCGUUUCUGAACAAAUUUACUGACCCGGAGAAUCAAGAACCAGAAUGAUCGUCUUUACUGUGACAACCUCAGAGAGAGAGAGGGAGAGAAAGUAGGGCUGGGCGAUAAACCGAAGAUUUACCGAUACUGAAAUUUACGACAAUAACCAACAUCAUUUUGCCGAUAUCGGAAUAUUCGAUGUCAAAAAAAUAAAUAAAUCAAAGUUGUUUUUGGAUGUGUGUAGGUAGGCUAUGGUCUCAUGUCCCUUUAAGACGCUGUCCUACAUCAGAGACGUGACUCCACCCCAUCCAGUCUGUAACAAAGAGGGAAAGACAGGUGAGGAGAUGGAGGACGGUUCGGCUGAAGUAGACGAAGUUAAUGUGAGAGAGGUUGAGCAGCUUGUGGAGUAGUUAUCGUCCAUUUAUCAAUAUAUCAUGAUACUGAUUGGAGGACAGAUCACGCAGCUCUAUGAGAAAGAGCGAGAAACAGAUCCACUGAUGAAGCCGGAGUAGACGGAUGGACGGAGGUUUACAGAAAGAGUCUGAUCUGUUGGACUGUUGGUCCGUCUCUGAUCAGUUCCCCUCACAGGUGGUAAAUCGAAGUCAGCACACGUGAAGAACGGACAAACCCUGAAGCUCUUACAGCUCAGAGAUCUCCAGAGAAGGUUCUGGUUUUAUGGAGGUUUUCUGCCACAGGCCUGAGUCCAGUCUGUGAGGCUGUUAGUGGGAGAGCUGAACCCUACGGGGCGGCUGACCGAUGGUUUUCCACUUACUGACUGUCUGAAGUGUCUGACGGCUACAUGACCGACUGUUCCUGAAGUCUUUCAUUUUUCUCUUCUUUGGAGAUGAAAUGAACUUCUGGAGUCUCAGAAACACAGAUGAGAGCGUCAAACUGGUUAAUUUAGCUUUUCCUGUCGAAAUCAUAAAAUACAAACAUUUUAAUGUUUCUUAAAAGUGUAAAUUUGAUCUUAUCUAGAGGUCUGAUGUGUGUGAGACGACAGGACCAAACUGUGGUGAUUACUGUCUGAAUGAUGAGUCAAAUGACUUUUAAAGAGUUUACCAGGUGUAAGAGCCAAAAUUAUAUUUGUUUAGGAUAUUUUUACUCAGUACGUCACUUCCGGGGAUGGUCACUGAGGGGUGUGGUUUUGGGAUGUUUGGCAGGUUACUUUAAUCUCACCGGUGUGGUCAGACGACGGGUUGUCAAUAAGCUCUGAUGAGUUUCUGUUGAGUGUUUUUCACCGUUUCACUCGUCCUGUUUUAACCUCAUUUCAGUUUUUCACUUUUUCAUUUGAAGGGAAAAGUUCUGGACCUGGAUCAGCGUGUUUUCUUUCUUUUUUGGAAUAAUAAAUCACUUUUUAAC